CAGGACGCUGUGAUCCCUUCGGGGUGAACUUGUCGCUGACGAGUGGCGGACGGGUGAGUAAUGCUUAGGAAUCUGCCCAGUAGUGGGGGACAACACGGGGAAACUCGUGCUAAUACCGCAUACGCCCUACGGGGGAAAGCGGGGGAUCUUCGGACCUCGCGCUAUUGGAUGAGCCUAAGUCGGAUUAGCUUGUUGGUGGGGUAAAGGCCCACCAAGGCGACGAUCCGUAGCUGGUCUGAGAGGACGAUCAGCCACACUGGGACUGAGACACGGCCCAGACUCCUACGGGAGGCAGCAGUGGGGAAUAUUGGACAAUGGGGGAAACCCUGAUCCAGCAAUGCCGCGUGUGUGAAGAAGGCCUGCGGGUUGUAAAGCACUUUCAGUAGAGAAGAAAAGCUUAGGGAUAAUACCCCUGAGUCUUGACGUAACCUACAGAAGAAGCACCGGCUAACUCCGUGCCAGCAGCCGCGGUAAUACGGAGGGUGCGAGCGUUAAUCGGAAUUACUGGGCGUAAAGCGCGCGUAGGCGGUCUGGUCAGUCGGAUGUGAAAGCCCAGGGCUUAACCUUGGAAUUGCAUUCGAUACUGCCAAACUAGAAUGUUGGAGAGGGAAGUGGAAUUUCCGGUGUAGCGGUGAAAUGCGUAGAUAUCGGAAGGAACACCAGUGGCGAA
This 670-nucleotide ribosomal RNA is filed under the name uncultured Gammaproteobacteria bacterium. RNAcentral's name for it is "bacterial SSU rRNA". It matches the Rfam family "Bacterial small subunit ribosomal RNA", at positions 62 to 719 of the family's 1533-position model. Lineage: Bacteria; Pseudomonadati; Pseudomonadota; Gammaproteobacteria. The record is from RNAcentral.